RNAcentral lists this long non-coding RNA (958 nucleotides) under Monodelphis domestica (gray short-tailed opossum). Its description in RNAcentral is "lncRNA (ENSMODG00000030595.2)". The record is from RNAcentral. Lineage: Eukaryota; Metazoa; Chordata; Mammalia; Didelphimorphia; Didelphidae.
AGAAAAAGAAAAAUAUAUUUUUGAAUGAGAAGAUAAAGAUUGAAUUUUGUAAAUAAUUUUUGUAAGCAUUUUAUUUUUAAAUAAUGCUUCCUCCAAUUAUAUGUAAAAACAGUUUUUAACAUUUAUUUAAAAAAUUUUUAAAUUCCAAAUUCUCUUCCUCCCUCCUCUUCCCCCUUCCCUGAGACAGCAAGCAAUUUGAUAUUGGUAGUUUUAUAAGUAUUUUAGAGAAGAAAAGGAGAUUCUUCUCAUGGAAAUAAUAUGAGAUGACAUGGAAGCUGAUUGUUAUUUUUAAUUUUUUUUUUUAUCUCCAGUUGCCUCAAUGACUUCUUAUUCCCAGUGGUUUUCAUCCCGUGUUUUUGUCAUAUGUUCCCCACAUGCAUCCAACUUCAUAAUCCAAUUGCCUGAUAUAUAAAUCACUAAAAGUAGAACUUUCUUUUAUUAAUCCUUGUGACAACUAAUGAAGACUAAUGAGGAUGAAUGAAGAUAGUGUUCUGUGGAGGAGGAAAACUCAUUUCCAACUGUGUUGUAUAAAGGCAAAUUUGUAAGGGAAAGAAGUGUUGCUCUCUGUGUGGCUCCUCCUGCAGUUCUUGGCUUCCAGAAGUCAACUCUAGGCAGUGCUCUCAGCAGGUCUAGCCUGGAGUUGCAGAAGAAGACUUGGAAGUGGUGGUUGAAUGAGAGCUGUGUAACCAGGACCAUGGAGAGCCAAACAGUCUACCUUUUAGCUAUGAUCUUUGUUUCUGUUCUUAUGUCACCCUCCUCAUAUCUGCUUCCCGUACUUACCCUUCUCAUUGUCCCUUUAAGCUCUUUUCUUAGUCUUCUCUUCAUUGAAUAUAACCUUCAUUUUUCAUAGUAACUUACUCUGUCUCUAUAAAUGUGAAAAGAAAACACAACUCCUUCCCUUCCCUUCACAAACACCCCAUACAAUAAAAAAUCUUUGUAGGUUGUAUGCUUUUUAACU